CCAAUAGCGUAUAUUAAAGUUGCUGCAGUUAAAAAGCUCGUAGUUGAAUUUCGGAAUCAGUACGCUGGUCGUGCCUUCGGUAUGUACUGGUGUCACUGGUUCCUCCCUUCUGAAGAACCAUCAUGCCAUUCACUUGGUGUGGUGGGGAAUCAGGACUGUUACUUUGAAAAAAUUAGAGUGUUUAAAGCAGGCUCGCGCUUGAAUACAUUAGCAUGGAAUAAUGAAAUAGGACGUUAAUCCUAUUUUGUUGGUUUCUAGGAUCGACGUAAUGAUUAAUAGGGAUAGUUUGGGGCAUUAGUAUUCAAUUGUCAGAGGUGAAAUUCUUGGAUUUAUUGAAGACUAACUACUGCGAAAGCAUUUGCCAAGGAUGUUUUCAUUAAUCAAGAACGAAAGUUAGGGGAUCGAAGACGAUCAGAUACCGUCGUAGUCUUAACCAUAAACUAUGCCGACUAGGGAUCGGAUGAUGUUAAUUUUUUAAUGACUCAUUCGGCGCCUUACG
Molecule: ribosomal RNA, 499 nt
Filed under: uncultured Glomeromycotina
Lineage: Eukaryota; Fungi; Glomeromycota
Description: partial small subunit ribosomal RNA
Rfam family: Eukaryotic small subunit ribosomal RNA
Source: RNAcentral